This 548-nucleotide ribosomal RNA is filed under the name uncultured bacterium. RNAcentral describes it as "bacterial SSU rRNA". It matches the Rfam family "Bacterial small subunit ribosomal RNA", at positions 355 to 895 of the family's 1533-position model. The record is from RNAcentral.
UAGGGAAUCUUCGGCAAUGGACGGAAGUCUGACCGAGCAACGCCGCGUGAGUGAAGAAGGUUUUCGGAUCGUAAAGCUCUGUUGUAAGAGAAGAACGAGUGUGAGAGUGGAAAGUUCACACUGUGACGGUAUCUUACCAGAAAGGGACGGCUAACUACGUGCCAGCAGCCGCGGUAAUACGUAGGUCCCGAGCGUUGUCCGGAUUUAUUGGGCGUAAAGCGAGCGCAGGCGGUUAGAUAAGUCUGAAGUUAAAGGCUGUGGCUUAACCAUAGUAGGCUUUGGAAACUGUUUAACUUGAGUGCAAGAGGGGAGAGUGGAAUUCCAUGUGUAGCGGUGAAAUGCGUAGAUAUAUGGAGGAACACCGGUGGCGAAAGCGGCUCUCUGGCUUGUAACUGACGCUGAGGCUCGAAAGCGUGGGGAGCAAACAGGAUUAGAUACCCUGGUAGUCCACGCCGUAACGAUGAGUGCUAGGUGUUAGACCCUUUCCGGGGUUUAGUGCCGUAGCUNACGCAUUAAGCACUCCGCCUGGGGAGUACGACCGCAAGGUU